RNAcentral lists this ribosomal RNA (253 nucleotides) under uncultured bacterium. RNAcentral's name for it is "partial 16S ribosomal RNA". It matches the Rfam family "Bacterial small subunit ribosomal RNA", at positions 524 to 776 of the family's 1533-position model. The record is from RNAcentral.
UACGGAGGAUGCAAGCGUUAUUCGGAUUUACUGGGCUUAAAGAGUUCGUAGGCGGUUCGGUAAGUGAGGUGUGAAAGCCCUCGGCUCAACCGAGGAAUUGCGCUUCAAACUGCCGGGCUCGAGGGAGAUAGAGGUGAGCGGAACUGAUGGUGGAGCGGUGAAAUGCGUUGAUAUCAUCAGGAACACCAGAGGCGAAGGCGGCUCACUGGGUCUUUUCUGACGCUGAGGAACGAAAGCUAGGGGAGCAAACGGG